Molecule: long non-coding RNA, 1214 nt
Filed under: Parus major (Great Tit)
Lineage: Eukaryota; Metazoa; Chordata; Aves; Passeriformes; Paridae
Description: lncRNA (ENSPMJG00000011925.1)
Source: RNAcentral
AUGAGAAAGCCUUGCAGUUCAGGGGUAGCCACUUCACAGAGGCUGGUAGUUCCAGCACCCCUGGGCUGUGAUGUGCAGGAUGAGCACACCCUGGCUCUUGUGGUUAAGAUGGUGUCUAGAUCUCCAACCUGCAAAGGACAUUUAGACUGCAUGGGACACCACCAGCUUGCAACCAGAAUGGCAAGAGAUCAAGCAGGUUUUUGGAACUGGCUUCUGUGUCUUCCGUGUUUUUGAAAGGUCACUUUGCUGCUGAUGAGAAGGAAACUGCAGGAUUCAUCUGCAGAGAGAGAAGCUAAUUGCUCAACAUUUCAUGUAAGUACACUCAGACUCUUCCAAGCUGUUCAUUACCAUUUUUACCCUGACUGCAAUGGAAUUACUUAACAUUUCAAACCAUCAGACACACUCAAUCACAGAGCUCUGCAGACAUCACUGCAUUUAAAACGCCACUUCUUUCAAGUGCACCUCAAGUAGUGGUGUUCAUUUUCCAUCAAGUCAGAAAACCACUGUUACUAUCAUAGCAGUUUCUGCGCUUCCUAAGCCCAUUGCAAAUACUUAGAUUUCUAUCAUACCACAUACCCUGUGUAAUAUUGACCUCCCCUCCCUUUUCUGCCCACCCCUUGCAGCCUCAGUGUCAGUUCUGUCAAUAUAUUGUCUGCUUCUCUCUCUCCCUUUGUUUGCUGUAAACCAAGCCCUGGCAUCUGCGAGCCCUGUGUUUGACAAUAGCGAGCUAUUGAAUUCUUUGGUUACACCACAUGAGGGUUUUUCAGGCUGUGCAGGAUGCCAGAAUCAAUCUGGAAGUCAUCCCGUUUGGAAAGGAACCAAGGGGCAAACAGAUACAUUAUUUUUCCACUAAUUUAAAGUUUUAAACUGGUACUGGAGACUUUGAAAGUAAAAAAAUGAAACAUCAUAAACUAGAAAACAGAUGGAAGUGGAAUUUUAAAGACAUAAUCAGAUAGCCCCUGAAAUCAAAUAAUCUUUACCAGGGACUUCCCUGAGCUUUGUCUUGUCCUGAAGGAAUAAUUUCAAAUGUAAUAUGAUUUAAUAUUAUUUCUAUUAAAAUCUUCUUGGAUGGGAUUAAGCAAUCAUUAUCCCCGUAUGGAGCUUUUUAGGAGCUUUCCAUUGGUUUGUUGCUCAAAAGUUAACUGCAGAGUCAGGAAGAAUUGUUUACUAACAUAAACAAUAAAUAAAACAAAAUUUCUCCUUUGUAUCCUGCU